Molecule: long non-coding RNA, 971 nt
Organism: Mustela erminea (ermine)
Lineage: Eukaryota; Metazoa; Chordata; Mammalia; Carnivora; Mustelidae
Exons: 2
Source: RefSeq, a predicted model, not a curated record
AUUUUUGUUUUUAAACAUGUAUUUAUUUAUUUAUUUUCAUAAUGUCUACACCCAAUGUGGGGCUCGACCUCAUGACCCCGAGGCCCGAGGGUGAGAGCUGCUUUGCUCCAUGGGCUGAGGCAGCCAGGCACUCCUGGGCGUCUUUUGAACAAUUUUAAAAUUUCAUUUAAGCUUUUAUUUAAAUUCCAGUUGGUUAACAUAUGGCGUAGUACUAGUUUCAGGUUUACGAGGUAGUGAUUCCUCACUGCCACCCUCACCUGACGCUCAUCAGGACACACGCCCGUCUUCCUCCCCAUCACCGGGUUCCCCGGCCCCCAGCCUCCCUCCCCUCCGGUGACCCUCUGGCUAUUCUCUCGAGUGAAGAGUCUGUUUCCUGGUUUGCCUCUCUUUCGGGCGUCUUCUGACAUGGCUGUCAUCGUGGGACCCUUGUCCCCCAGGUGCUGCCAUUCUGUCCAGUGCUUGAGGGGAGGAGGAGGGGCUGUUUCGUCUCAUCUUUGCGGCUCUUCUCUUGCCUCCCUGUCCUCCCUCCCCCCCAGUCAUGGUCAGGGAGUCCCUCCUGUCUGGACACAGGCCUCCCGGCCGGAGCUGGAGCCAAGCACACGAGCCAGAUGGAGAGAAGCGUGGGGGGUGGACAAAGUCCCAGAGACUGAGGACCUCAACAUUCCCACAAUGUCAGGUUGAAAGCCGUGGGCACAGGGGCUGUCAGCAUCGCCUACAGUCAUGUCUGGAGGUCUAACUCUUCAGUGGGCAGUAAGAGCCAGCUGGAGCCAGAGUGUCCCCUGGAUCAAGUCAGGUUCUUGUUUGUGAGACCAUGGGUUGGGAAAUAUGUGGGACAGUCCUCAGGGGGAAGUGGAAACUGACACAGAAAGGGAUGUAGAGGGAACUGUGAGGUGAGAACGGCCACACGGUGAGGGGGGCUCUGUCCGGGCAGCAGCUAGAGAGAUGCAGAACCAGCAAAGGCAGACAGGACA